Molecule: non-coding RNA, 21 nt
Filed under: Caenorhabditis elegans
Lineage: Eukaryota; Metazoa; Nematoda; Chromadorea; Rhabditida; Rhabditidae
Source: RNAcentral
UCACUUCCGAAGUUAUCAAAC